RNAcentral lists this ribosomal RNA (439 nucleotides) under uncultured bacterium. RNAcentral's name for it is "bacterial SSU rRNA". It matches the Rfam family "Bacterial small subunit ribosomal RNA", at positions 337 to 793 of the family's 1533-position model. The record is from RNAcentral.
GCCUACGGGACGCAGCAGUGGGGAAUAUUGGACAAUGGGCGCAAGCCUGAUCCAGCCAUGCCGCGUGAGUGAUGAAGGCCCUAGGGUUGUAAAGCUCUUUCGCCGGUGAAGAUAAUGACUGUAGCCGGUAAAGAAGCCCCGGCUAACUUCGUGCCAGCAGCCGCGGUAAUACGAAGGGGGCUAGCGUUGUUCGGAAUUACUGGGCGUAAAGCGCACGUAGGCGGACAUUUAAGUCAGGGGUGAAAUCCCGGAGCUCAACUCCGGAACUGCCUUUGAUACUGGGUGUCUCGAGUAUGGAAGAGGUAAGUGGAAUUGCGAGUGUAGAGGUGAAAUUCGUAGAUAUUCGCAGGAACACCAGUGGCGAAGGCGGCUUACUGGUCCAUUACUGACGCUGAGGUGCGAAAGCGUGGGGAGCAAACAGGAUUAGAUACCCGGGUAC